This 1955-nucleotide ribosomal RNA is filed under the name Francisella tularensis subsp. holarctica. RNAcentral describes it as "bacterial LSU rRNA". It matches the Rfam family "Bacterial large subunit ribosomal RNA", at positions 1 to 1988 of the family's 2925-position model. The record is from RNAcentral. Lineage: Bacteria; Pseudomonadati; Pseudomonadota; Gammaproteobacteria; Thiotrichales; Francisellaceae.
UUAAGAAAAUAAGUGCAAGCGGUGGAUGCCUUGGCAUUCAGAGGCGAUGAAGGACGUGAUAAUCUGCGAUAAGCUUCGGUUAGCUGGUAAAUGAGCUAUGACCCGGAGAUUUCCGAAUGGGGGAACCCACCUGACACAAGUUGGGUACUCACUCGAUAUAGAGUGUAGAGCGAACGAGGGGAACUGAAACAUCUAAGUACCCUUAGGAAGAGAAAUCAAUUGAGAUUCCCGUAGUAGUGGCGAGCGAAGUGGGAAGAGCCUGGUAUGAUUUAGCUGUAAUUAUAGUAGAACAAGUUGGGAAGCUUGACGAUAGAGGGUGAUAGUCCCGUAUACGAAAUAAUCACAGUGGAACUAAGCAUACGAACAAGUAGGACGGGGCACGUGGAACCUUGUCUGAAUAUGGGGGGACCAUCCUCCAAGGCUAAAUACUCCUGAAUGACCGAUAGUGAACUAGUACCGUGAGGGAAAGGUGAAAAGAACCCUUAUAAAGGGAGUGAAAUAGAAUCUGAAACCGCUUGCAUACAAGCAGUAGGAGCAUGAUUUAGUCAUGUGACUGCGUACCUUUUGUAUAAUGGGUCAGCGAGUUAUUUUUAGUGGCGAGGAUAACUGAAUAAGGGAUCCGUAGCGAAAGCGAGUUUUAAUAGGGCGACUAGUCGCUAGGAGUAGACCCGAAACCGGCGCGAUCUAUCCAUGGCCAGGUUGAAGAUUAGGUAGUACUAAUUGGAGGACCGAACCCAAUACUGUUGCAAAAGUAUGGGAUGAGCUGUGGAUCGGAGUGAAAGGCUAAUCAAGCACGGAGAUAGCUGGUUCUCCCCGAAAACUAUUUAGGUAGUGCCUCGUGUAUAACUCAUUGGGGUAAAGCACUGUUUCGACAAUGGGGGUUUUACGACCUUACUGACUCGAUGCAAACUCAGAAUACGAUGAAGUUCGAUCACGGGAGACACACUGCGGGUGCUAAGGUCCGCAGUGGAAAGGGAAACAGCCCAGACCGCCAACUAAGGUCCCAAAGUCAUAGCUAAGUGGGAAACGAAGUGGGAAGGCCCAGACAGCCAGGAGGUUGGCUUAGAAGCAGCCACCCUUUAAAGAAAGCGUAAUAGCUCACUGGUCGAGUCGGCCUGCACGUAAGAUUUAACGGGGCUAAGCUAUGCACUGAAGUUGCGGAAUAUAUUUAGUAUAUUGGUAGGGGAGCGUUCUGUAAGCCGAUGAAGGUGAAUUGAGAAGUUUGCUGGAGGUAUCAGAAGUGCGAAUGCUGACAUGAGUAACGUAAAAUAAGUGAGAUUCUUAUUGGCCGAAAACCCAAGGGUUCCUACGCAAUGUUAAUCAACGUAGGGUAAGCCGGCCCCUAAGGCGUAGCUGAAGAGUGAAGUCGAUGGGAAACAGGUUAAUAUUCCUGUGCUGCUUAUAUGAACGAAGGAGGGACGGAGAAGGUUAGGUAGGCCUGGCGAAUGGUUGUCCAGGUGAAAGUAUGUAGGUAGGAAUGCUAGGCAAAUCCGGUGUUCUGUUGAUCUGAGAUACGAGACGAAGUUAAACUUGUUUGACGAAGCUAUUGAUACCAUGCUUCCAGGAAAAGCUUCUAAGUAUAUUGUAUAAGUGACCGUACUGUAAACCGACACUGGUGGGUAGGUAGAGAAUACUAAGGCUAUGAGAUAACUCUGGUGAAGGAACUAGGCAAAAUGACACCGUAACUUUGGAAGAAGGUGUGCCCUUGAUGGUGAUGAGACUUGCUCUUUGAGCUGUUGGGGGUUGCAGAUACCAGGUGGCUGCGACUGUUUAUCAAAAACACAGCACUCUGCGAAAUCGUAAGAUGAAGUAUAGGGUGUGACGCCUGCCCGGUGCUGGAAGGUUAAUUGAAGGGGUUAGCGCAAGCGAAGCUCUGGAUCGAAGCCCCAGUAAACGGCGGCCGUAACUAUAACGGUCCUAAGGUAGCGAAAUUCCUUGUCGGGUAAGUUCCGACC